Molecule: unclassified non-coding RNA, 345 nt
Filed under: soil metagenome
Description: partial contains 5.8S ribosomal RNA, internal transcribed spacer 2, and large subunit ribosomal RNA
Rfam family: 5.8S ribosomal RNA (bases 1-119)
Source: RNAcentral
GAUGAAGAACGUAGCGAAAUGCGAUACGUAAUGUGAAUUGCAAAUUCAGUGAAUCAUCGAGUCUUUGAACGCACAUUGCGCCCCCUGGUAUUCCGGGGGGCAUGCCUGUCCGAGCGUCAUUGCUGCCCUCAAGCACGGCUUGCGUGUUGGGCCCCGUCCUCCGAUCCCGGGGGACGGGCCCGAAAGGCAGCGGCGGCACCGCGUCCGGUCCUCGAGCGUAUGGGGCUUUGUCACCCGCUCUGUAGGCCCGGCCGGCGCUUGCCGAUCAACCCAAAUUUUUAUCCAGGUUGACCUCGGAUCAGGUAGGGAUACCCGCUGAACUUAAGCAUAUCAAUAAGCGGAGGA